RNAcentral lists this long non-coding RNA (814 nucleotides) under Homo sapiens (human). RNAcentral's name for it is "non-protein coding lnc-COL23A1-3:1". Lineage: Eukaryota; Metazoa; Chordata; Mammalia; Primates; Hominidae. The record is from RNAcentral.
CUGCUGAAGCGGCUUUCCUUCUGCCAGAAUCUCAGGAACUCCUGGAUCUGCCUUUCCAGAACCAGCUUCUCUCUCCCUGCUCUGCCUUCAGACUGCCCUCUUUCUACCUCUCCCUCUAGAACUACAUCUCUUCUGGCUGGGUUUAUAGCUUGGGGCUGGGGGAGGCCCAGUGGGACUGGCUGAGUGGAGCCAGCCGUGUGACGGAGGCGGCCCUCUUCCAGUUGGGCACUGCCACCCUCUCGUGGUCCAAGCAGCACAUGAGCAGAACCAGGUGCUCAACACCAACAGCCGGUACCUGCAUGACAACAUCGUGGACUAUGCGCAGAGGCUGUCAGAGACCCUGCCGGAGCAGCUCUGUGUGUUCUAUUUCCUGAAUUCUGGGGGUGUUGGGCUCUUCAUUGGUGUGGAUCUGAUCAAAGAUGAGGCCACAAGGACACCAGCAACUGAAGAGGCUGCCUACUUGGUAUCAAGACAUGGAAGAGAAGGUGAGAAGUUGUGAAACGCUGAGGCUCCAGCCCUAAGCCAGCCCUGCUCUGCCUAAGUGUACUCCAGAAGAAACUCAUCUCAUCCAAAUACACGCUAUUGAGAAGGCGAGCCUGACCUCCCUCUUACAGAUAAAGUCAGCUUUCAGAGGCUCAGGGUGGGGGGGCCUGCCCGAGGCCAUAAUGCUACCCACCCCCUCCUCCUAACCACUGGUCUGUUGGAAUAACCCAGAUGUCUGCAUCCCCUCAAGUCAGUCAAUUUCCUUUCUGUCCACUGGGGGUGGAAUGGGGUAGGGUGGGAUACUUUAAAGUGCUCCUGCUUAAAUAAAUUA